AAGGGCAAGUUCACACGAAAAUAAACCUAUUUUUCUUGUACUUUUUCAUCAUGAAAAGUAUUUACCUAGUAGUUUCGGAGGCAAAACAAUUAAAAUAUCACACGUAUCAAAUUUAUUUUAUUCAUAAAAUCGGUUCAUAUUUUUCACAUUUACAGAGAGUUCUAUUUCCAUAAUAAACACACCAUGGCUUAUGCCCCUUGCAAUAUGAUGUCAUUGGUGCCAAUUGACAAAGGAAUGACGUCAUAAGACUUUAUUAGACGCGUUUCACGUGGUGUAUGUAGGUGUGUGGUUCUAUCUUCUCAGAUGCGCAGCCUAGCUAUUGUUUUGUUCGGUGCCGAGCUGUCCAAGAUACAACGCUAAGCACAAUUACUCUAAAAUUAUUUCGGUUUCCAAAAUCACGACUGAGAAGACAACAAUGCACUGAUAACAUACUGUAAGAUUCGCGAUUAUGGUUGGAAGGGUCCGUUGUAUGAAUUGCGCUUAUUCGUUCAUUUGUGUUGCGCAUAUUGGCUCUUGCUGAGUUGCUGUUGUCCUCCGUGAGAGUUUAGAUACCUGCUGGUUCUGAAACCACAGGACCAUAUGUAACUAAUAAUAACAAUAAAAAAAACUCGUUUAAAAAUUAUAGACGAGGCCGAAGGCCGUUUUUGUUACUAUUAUUAGUUACAUAUGGUCCUGUGCUGAAACUGAUCGGAAGCGGAUGGUGUACGAUCCUUAUAUGGAAACGGGCUAAAGGGGCAGCACUCUCAUCAAGACCCUGACUGGGAUGUUUUUGUAAACAAACGCCGUAAAGUUGAAGUAACUCGAUCAGUUUCGAGCCAAGUCAUGCCAGACACCAAUGCCCAGAAAGUACAGGUCCCCAGUCCAUCAUGGUGUAAAGUCGCUGUCCAAUGUACACCAGAAGCAUGGCACACCGUGCUUCAUAGUAUGAGGUACAAAAUAAUAUUUUGACAAUGAAUAAUCACACAAUGUAAAUACUAUAUGCAAAUAAUUUCUGUAUUGAACUAUUUUGUGUAUCUAUUAUAUUCUAUAUUGUUGUCUUUUGUUGUAAAAGUGUAGUGUGGAUGACAAAUGAAAGUAUACUGUGAAUGACAUAUAACAGUAAUAGAUCUGAUACAAUUUGUACACAGUUAACUGAUGAUAUUUGUCUUCAGGCACCCAGUGACAUGCCUGACACUGCUGAAGAUUAUUACCACCUUCUUUUACAAUUAUUUAGUCAGUGUACAUAUUAUUUUGACAAAUUUAUGUUAAAAUUAUUUUUAUAUUUUUCAGGUCCCACAAUGAUAUGGAAGAGUAUAAAUGCGACAAAACCCUUUCCAUAUUUAUAUGAAAUCUCUGUAAAAAACAGUUGAUGAUACGAUUCUGACUAAAUCAUGAGCACGUGUUAAUGAAUCGCUAUCAAAUAGUGAUAAUACCAGGUGUUCGCGAAAGUAGAGAGUAUCCUGCCCCACCGGUGUCACAAGAAAUCCCUGGUGUUGAGAUCCAUUUUCAUUGAGUGCAAAUUGUGUUUAUUUUCAUGCAGAGUUACAAGUCAUAAAAUAUUAGAGUGUCUUGUGAGGUACAGUGCUUCAGACAACAAGAGAGCUGUACUUUUGAAAUAGUCAACCAGUGCACUAACAAGUUGCCACUGAGCAUUCAGCCAGUGCUUGUGAUAUUUUGUUCAGUCUUUUCCCCGGCCUUCGCCCUUGCCCCAAACUACCUGAUCCAGCAUCAGCCAUCGUGUAUUACAGAAACUUAUCAAAUGAACAGCAAAGGCUGAUUGUUGUCAGAGACCAUAAAACAAGAUUUCAAUGAAAAAAGUUUAUUUUAAUGAGCAUAGAGAAAAACUUUACAUACAUCAGAUGGAAAUCUUUCAUGAAUCACCUCGACAACACAAGACGGAAUAACUUUUCUCUGAUUCUUCAACUCUUUCUGCAAAUCCCCAAAGUGAACCUCUUGUUUAUGAGGUGUAGAUAGAUUCUGAAAUGAAAAAGUGUCUUUUAUUAGUCAAGCGAUGCACAACAUUACAAAACAAUAUCAUACCAUUUACAUAUAUAUUUUUGUCAUUAAAUCUGGAGGGAUGCUUAUAUAAGAAGUAACUUGUAUUGAUGUUAUAUGCAAAAAUUUUAUUACAUGUCAAUAAUUCAAUAAAUACCAAAACAGUUUAUAGUUCUAUCAUGUUGACAUGAUGUGUUUAUUACUGUAGGUUUGAAUACUUCUUGAAAUAUUGUGGGCAUGUUUCAAUAUCACUGAUGUAAUUUAAUAACCUUACAAGUUACAUAUGCUUUCACAACUUGCUGGCAAAUAAACAUUUAUGGUACUCGAA
This is a long non-coding RNA of Haliotis rufescens (red abalone), 2302 nucleotides long. RefSeq lists it as uncharacterized. The record is from RefSeq and is a predicted model, not a curated record. The transcript has 2 exons. Lineage: Eukaryota; Metazoa; Mollusca; Gastropoda; Lepetellida; Haliotidae.